This 468-nucleotide ribosomal RNA is filed under the name uncultured bacterium. RNAcentral's name for it is "partial 16S ribosomal RNA". It matches the Rfam family "Bacterial small subunit ribosomal RNA", at positions 28 to 507 of the family's 1533-position model. The record is from RNAcentral.
GACGAACGCUGGCGGCGUGCUUAACACAUGCAAGUCGAACGGUGAUGCUCCAGCUUGCUGGAGUGGAUCAGUGGCGAACGGGUGAGUAACACGUGAGCAACCUGCCCCAGACUCUGGAAUAAGCGCUGGAAACGGCGUCUAAUACUGGAUACGAAACUGGCCCGCAUGGGCAUGGUUUGGAAAGUUUUUCGGUUUGGGAUGGGCUCGCGGCCUAUCAGCUUGUUGGUGAGGUAAUGGCUCACCAAGGCGACGACGGGUAGCCGGCCUGAGAGGGCGACCGGCCACAAUGGGACUGAGACACGGCCCAGAAUCCUACGGGAGGCAGCAGUGGGGAAUAUUGCACAAUGGGCGAAAGCCUGAUGCAGCGACGCCGCGUGAGGGAUGACGGCCUUCGGGUUGUAAACCUCUUUCAGCAGGGAAGAAGCGAAAGUGACGGUACCUGCAGAAGAAGCACCGGCUAACUACGUG